Non-coding RNA from Triticum urartu, 3005 nucleotides. The record is from RefSeq and is a predicted model, not a curated record. Lineage: Eukaryota; Viridiplantae; Streptophyta; Magnoliopsida; Poales; Poaceae.
CUAUAUUCCAGUGACGUUCUAUCCUAUUAAGCAACAAUCUUCAAGGUGGUGGUUCAGUUCAACACUGCUGACCUCCAUGUCCGGCGCCCCAUGCUCCAACCUUGGACUUGUUCCCAGGGACAUGAAUGGUAGCUUUCCAGUCAGUACUACAAAUUCCUCUGGCCGAAGCAUUGGUGUUAGCUCUUUGGUGACUGAUGGCAAUUCAUCGCUUUCUGGAGGUGCCCAGUUUCAGCAAAGUACGCGCACGAAUGCUGAUUCAUUCAUGUGCCUUCCUGCCUUUCUGAUGUCGUUUUCGUCCAAUAACAUUUCCAGCAGGGGUAAUAAUCGAGCCUCUCUAUAUUAUGCAAAUUGAUAUGCUUUAAACAACAAUAAAGCGCACCAAUUAAUUUAACACAACAUAUAAGCGAUUGUAAUUCAAGUUCAAUAUCACGAACUAUAUAUACAUGGCUUUUACAAUUGUACAUCUUAACUUAGUCUACAUGGCUUGUAGUACGCAUACUGCAGGUAGGGUAUGACGGUAUGUAUAUGGUUUCUUAUGUAAUACCAUGUUGGCUUUGAAACUGAGCAGAAUUAUUUAUUUUCCUUUUUAAUGGUUACUUAUUGAUUUAUACUUACAGAUUGUUGUCUUUUCCCUUCUGAAAUAAAAGCUGAUCUUCAAGUUCUGAUAGUCAGAUAUGAUUAUUAUGUAUGACUAUAUCAUCAACAAGGUGUUUUUAGUACCAAAUGAUGAAUAUUUCAACCACUAUUUGGCGGUAAGUUAGAUGCUUUCCCUUAGUUCCCAAAAAUAAUAUAGGUACUUCUGUUACAGUUGGGAGCUGUUGUAUUGUUAUCCCAGUAUAGUGGCCAAUACAAACUAUAUGCUAUAUUCGUAUGCACUCUCAGACCAAAUAAAGCAUAAUUGUAUUAUCUUUUUUACUGCCUUUGUGGUAACAUGGUAUCUCCAUGUAUCCUGUUUAAAAAAUCAUGGGAAAUAUUUUUGUAUUAGAAGUUUACCUUUUUCAACUAACAAGGAUAUUGGUAUUGUGGUUAUCAUUAGUUCAGGACACGGUGCUUCUAUAGAUGUAUUUUUUCGGGUACUAUUCCUCAUUAAAAGUCAGGAACAAGUUCUAUUCUGCCUAUUAUAUGUAUGAAAUAUGGAUGGAACAGACGUUUUUAUUUUGCAAAUUCCAUACGGAAAGGGAAAGAACAAACUAAAUACAAGGAUUGACCUGUGAUGUACUACUAUUUUUCAGUACUAUGAGCCUGUACUCAUGAAAUGCACUGCAAGGAAAUACGCACCUACAAGUUGUCCCUAUAAGAUUAAGUGCAGGUAUGUGGCAUGCAAGCAGAGGAGAGGAUGAACUUGACAUUUACUAAUACUACUUCAUAUUUGAUCUCACAAGAUUCAAAAGAUAAAUGGAGGAUUAUAUGGGUGUGUGGCAAGUAUACUGCAAUGACGAUAAUGAUGUUCCUGUUCGUGAUGAUGAUGAUGAUGCUGGAUGCUUUCAGUUUUAGUUAAGUUGUAGGGAUGAUGUUCCUCGGUUAAGUUUUAGAUAAGUUGUAGGGAUGUGAUGGAUGCUUUUAGUUUAAGUUUGCUAUCAAGAAAAUAUUUAGAUUAUACAUCACAUUAGAUGAUGUUCCUGCUGUAAUAAUCACUAUUGUAAUCCAACAAUUUUAUUAAGUAUAUGAUUUCUUCUUCCCGUGAAUAAUAUUUUCAUGGUUUCUCUUCAUGGAGCAUUAAUUUAGAUGCUGACAUUAUAUAUAAAAAAAUAAUAUUAUUCACAUCAUAUGUGUCAACAAUUAACCGUUGCAAAUUCUUUGUUGCCAAGCAAUGGGAUUUUGAUUCCUGUACAUUAAGCACCAACGUAUAAAAGUGUUGCACAAGUCUAUUUUAUCUGUUGUACUCUUGCAACGGCCCCUUUACCAACGGCACUAUAAGCGUUGCACUAUGCGCUAGCAACACUGGAUAAGGCUAUGCAUCCCAAAGCGUUGGUAAAUACACUAACAACGCAUAUAUGGACUUUUAGAUACGGAAAAAAUCGUUGCUAUAGGAGGGGUCUUGUUGUAGUGGUUGUAGGUAUGUAUGCUGUAUGCUACUCCCACAUUUCUUUCUCCUGCAGCAACCAUGCUAUUUUGGUCCUCUAACAGACUUGUCCUGCAGCAGCUACUGCAUAUGGUAAUGCCUAUGAAUCUUGGCUAGCUCCUGCAACCAAUGUUUAUCAACAGGGGGAUCAUGAUGAAGCAGCUACUGCAUAUGGUAAUGCUUAUGAAUCUUCGCUAGCUCCUGCAACCAAUGUUUAUCAGCAGGCGAAUCAUGAUGAAGGUCCUCCCACCGCCGCUUCUUCUGCAGCAAACAUAACGUUUGGUACGGCAACACAUGGGCCUCCUUAUGAAGUUGUGCAAGUUCCUACAGCAAGCACUUCUUUUGAAACAAAUAGUCAUCAAGAGAGGAAUGUUUAUGAAGAUAUGGAUACUUAUCUUUCCACAUUUCUGCACUCGGACGUGAAUCCUGGAGCUCGUCCUUUUGAAGCCAAUUUCACUGAUAUGUGUGCAUAUGAUGAUACGAUCUUGUAUCUGGAUCUGGAUGCCUUUGCGGAUCCUCACAAUGCAGCUCCUAAUCGGAAAGAAGCAAGGAGUCCAACCCCUGAGGACGCUCAGCAAGAGAACUGAUGCCACCAAUACUGUGCCUCAUGAAACUUGUCCGAUCCGAAUCCUGAUGAGUUACAUUGAUCAUCAUGCAUGUUUAUGGCAUUUUCACGCAAAAUUGCUUUACCGGUUUCUUGGUGCAUCGGAUGGUGAUGGAAACACUGUCGGUUACUUAGCUUCAUCUCUACUUGGAUCGGAAACUUGUAACAGAAGUGUGACUUAGGCGCAUGAUGGAUGGUUCCAGUGACCACUCUUUAGUUUUAUCUCUCCUUGGAUGGAAAACUUGUACCGGAAGUUGACUUGGGUGCAGGAUGGAUGGUUCCAGUGACCAUUUGAAUUGCAAAGCUGUGAUUCUUAUCAGCUAUUGGUUGCUGCUUUAC